AAAUUGAAGAGUUUGAUCAUGGCUCAGAUUGAACGCUGGCGGCAGGCCUAACACAUGCAAGUCGAACGGUAACAGAAAGCAACUUGCUGCUUUGCUGACGAGUGGCGGACGGGUGAGUAAUGUCUGGGAAACUGCC
This 136-nucleotide ribosomal RNA is filed under the name Escherichia coli. RNAcentral's name for it is "partial 16S ribosomal RNA". It matches the Rfam family "Bacterial small subunit ribosomal RNA", at positions 1 to 130 of the family's 1533-position model. Lineage: Bacteria; Pseudomonadati; Pseudomonadota; Gammaproteobacteria; Enterobacterales; Enterobacteriaceae. The record is from RNAcentral.